This 421-nucleotide ribosomal RNA is filed under the name Enterococcus faecium. Its description in RNAcentral is "bacterial SSU rRNA". It matches the Rfam family "Bacterial small subunit ribosomal RNA", at positions 30 to 429 of the family's 1533-position model. The record is from RNAcentral. Lineage: Bacteria; Bacillati; Bacillota; Bacilli; Lactobacillales; Enterococcaceae.
CGAACGCUGGCGGCGUGCCUAAUACAUGCAAGUCGUACGCUUCUUUUUCCACCGGAGCUUGCUCCACCGGAAAAAGAAGAGUGGCGAACGGGUGAGUAACACGUGGGUAACCUGCCCAUCAGAAGGGGAUAACACUUGGAAACAGGUGCUAAUACCGUAUAACAAUCGAAACCGCAUGGUUUUGAUUUGAAAGGCGCUUUCGGGUGUCGCUGAUGGAUGGACCCGCGGUGCAUUAGCUAGUUGGUGAGGUAACGGCUCACCAAGGCCACGAUGCAUAGCCGACCUGAGAGGGUGAUCGGCCACAUUGGGACUGAGACACGGCCCAAACUCCUACGGGAGGCAGCAGUAGGGAAUCUUCGGCAAUGGACGAAAGUCUGACCGAGCAACGCCGCGUGAGUGAAGAAGGUUUUCGGAUCGUAAA